RNAcentral lists this ribosomal RNA (492 nucleotides) under uncultured bacterium. RNAcentral describes it as "partial 16S ribosomal RNA". It matches the Rfam family "Bacterial small subunit ribosomal RNA", at positions 29 to 507 of the family's 1533-position model. The record is from RNAcentral.
AGUGAACGCUGGCGGUAGGCCUAACACAUGCAAGUCGAACGGCAGCACAGUAAGAGCUUGCUCUUACGGGUGGCGAGUGGCGGACGGGUGAGGAAUACAUCGGAAUCUACUUUUUCGUGGGGGAUAACGUAGGGAAACUUACGCUAAUACCGCAUACGACCUACGGGUGAAAGCAGGGGAUCUUCGGACCUUGCGCGAUUGAAUGAGCCGAUGUCGGAUUAGCUAGUUGGCGGGGUAAAGGCCCACCAAGGCGACGAUCCGUAGCCGGUCUGAGAGGAUGAUCAGCCACACCGGAACUGAGACACGGUCCAGACUCCUACGGGAGGCAGCAGUGGGGAAUAUUGGACAAUGGGCGCAAGCCUGAUCCAGCCAUACCGCGUGGGUGAAGAAGGCCUUCGGGUUGUAAAGCCCUUUUGUUGGGAAAGAAAAGCAGCAGGUUAAUACCCCGCUGUUCUGACGGUACCCAAAGAAUAAGCACCGGCUAACUUCGUG